RNAcentral lists this ribosomal RNA (440 nucleotides) under uncultured bacterium. Its description in RNAcentral is "partial 16S ribosomal RNA". It matches the Rfam family "Bacterial small subunit ribosomal RNA", at positions 338 to 795 of the family's 1533-position model. The record is from RNAcentral.
CCUACGGGAGGCAGCAGUGGGGAAUAUUGCACAAUGGGGGAAACCCUGAUGCAGCGACGCCGCGUGAGUGAAGAAGUAUUUCGGUACGUAAAGCUCUAUCAGCAGGGAAGAAAAUGACGGUACCUGACUAAGAAGCCCCGGCUAACUACGUGCCAGCAGCCUCGGUAAUACGUAGGGGGCAAGCGUUAUCCGGAUUUACUGGGUGUAAAGGGAGCGUAGACGGCAGCGCAAGGCUGGAGUGAAAUCCCAUGGCUUAACCAUGGAACUGCUUUGGAAACUGUGCAGCUAGAGUGCAGGAGAGGUAAGCGGAAUUCCUAGUGUAGCGGUGAAAUGCGUAGAUAUUAGGAGGAACACCAGUGGCGAAGGCGGCUUACUGGACUGUAACUGACGUUGAGGCUCGAAAGCGUGGGGAGCAAACAGGAUUAGAUACCCGAGUAGUC